This 245-nucleotide ribosomal RNA is filed under the name uncultured bacterium. RNAcentral's name for it is "partial 16S ribosomal RNA". It matches the Rfam family "Bacterial small subunit ribosomal RNA", at positions 524 to 761 of the family's 1533-position model. The record is from RNAcentral.
UACGGAGGGUGCGAGCGUUGUCCGGAAUCAUUGGGCGUAAAGGGCGCGUUAGGGUUGGCCCGGGUCAGCGUGGCGGUGAAAGCUCGGGGCUCAACCCCGAGUCGGGCCGUGCGAACUGCUGGCUCGAGCACUGUAGAGGCAGGCGGAAUUCCGGGUGUAGCGGUGGAAUGCGUAGAGGAUCCGGAAAGAACACCGGUGGCGAAGGCGGCCUGCUGGGCAGUAGCUGACACUGAGGCGCGACAGCG